GUGAGGAAUAUUGGUCAAUGGGCGGGAGCCUGAACCAGCCAAGUCGCGUGAAGGAAGAAGGAUCUAUGGUUCGUAAACUUCUUUUGCAGGGGAAUAAAGUGCAGGACGUGUCCUGUUUUGUAUGUACCCUGAGAAUAAGGAUCGGCUAACUCCGUGACAGCAGCCGCGGUAAUACGGAGGAUCCGAGCGUUAUCCGGAUUUAUUGGGUUUAAAGGGUGCGUAGGUGGUUUGAUAAGUCAGCGGUGAAAGUUUGCAGCUUAACUGUAAAAAUGCCGUUGAAACUGUCGGACUUGAGUGUAAAUGAGGUAGGCGGAAUGCGUGGUGUAGCGGUGAAAUGCAUAGAUAUCACGCAGAACUCCGAUUGCGAAGGCAGCUUACUAAGCUACAACUGACACUGAAGCACGAAAGCGUGGGGAUCAAACAGGAUUAGAUACCCCAGUAGUCC
This 445-nucleotide ribosomal RNA is filed under the name uncultured bacterium. RNAcentral's name for it is "partial 16S ribosomal RNA". It matches the Rfam family "Bacterial small subunit ribosomal RNA", at positions 354 to 796 of the family's 1533-position model. The record is from RNAcentral.